AAGUGUGACCAUACCAGUAGUAAUGCCCAAGAUCCCAUCAGAACUCCGUAGUUAAGCGUGCUUGUGGGAUAGUAGAACUAUGAUGGGUGACCUUCCGGGAAGACCUCGUGUUGCACCUC
RNAcentral lists this ribosomal RNA (119 nucleotides) under Gossypium hirsutum (cotton). Lineage: Eukaryota; Viridiplantae; Streptophyta; Magnoliopsida; Malvales; Malvaceae. The record is from RNAcentral.